AUACGGAGGGUGCAAGCGUUAAUCGGAAUUACUGGGCGUAAAGCGCGCGUAGGCGGUUUGAUCAGUCGGACGUGAAAGCCCUGGGCUCAACCUGGGAACUGCAUUCGAUACUGUCAGACUAGAAUAUGGUAGAGGGUAGUGGAAUUCCUGGUGUAGCGGUGAAAUGCGUAGAUAUCAGGAGGAACAUCAGUGGCGAAGGCGGCUACCUGGACCAAUAUUGACGCUGAGGUGCGAAAGCGUGGGGAGCAAACAGGAUUAGAUACCCCAGUAGUCC
RNAcentral lists this ribosomal RNA (274 nucleotides) under uncultured bacterium. RNAcentral describes it as "partial 16S ribosomal RNA". It matches the Rfam family "Bacterial small subunit ribosomal RNA", at positions 523 to 796 of the family's 1533-position model. The record is from RNAcentral.